ACCUGAAAAGAUGGUUGACCAUAGCACAUGCGCUUUCUCCGUGUCGUAUGUAAUAUGGUCCACGUCUUCUCACUAUC
Molecule: microRNA precursor, 77 nt
Filed under: Echinops telfairi (small Madagascar hedgehog)
Lineage: Eukaryota; Metazoa; Chordata; Mammalia; Afrosoricida; Tenrecidae
Source: RNAcentral